CCUACGGGAGGCAGCAGUGAGGAAUAUUGGUCAAUGGGCGCAAGCCUGAACCAGCCAAGUCGCGUGAGGGAUGACGGUCCUAUGGAUUGUAAACCUCUUUUGUAGGGGAGCAAGGCACGCCACGUGUGGCGGGAAGGAGAGUACCCGAAGAAAAAGCAUCGGCUAACUCCGGGCAAGCAGCCGCGGUAAUCCGGAGGAUGGGAUCGUAAUCCGGAUUUAUGGGGUUAAAGGGGUGCGCAGGCGGAAUGUCAGGUCAGCGGUAAAAUUUCGGGGCUCAACCCCGUCGUGCCGUUGAAACUGGCGUUCUUGAGUGCGCGAGAAGUAUGCGGAAUGCGUGGUGUAGCGGUGAAAUGCAUAGAUAUCACGCAGAACUCCGAUUGCGAAGGCAGCAUACCGGCGCUCAACUGACGCUCAUGCACGAAAGCGUGGGUAUCGAACAGGAUUAGAUACCCUAGUAGUC
This 460-nucleotide ribosomal RNA is filed under the name uncultured bacterium. Its description in RNAcentral is "partial 16S ribosomal RNA". It matches the Rfam family "Bacterial small subunit ribosomal RNA", at positions 338 to 795 of the family's 1533-position model. The record is from RNAcentral.